GUGGGGAAUCUUGCGCAAUGGGCGAAAGCCUGACGCAGCCAUGCCGCGUGAAUGAUGAAGGUCUUAGGAUUGUAAAAUUCUUUCACCGGGGACGAUAAUGACGGUACCCGGAGAAGAAGCCCCGGCUAACUUCGUGCCAGCAGCCGCGGUAAUACGAAGGGGGCUAGCGUUGCUCGGAAUUACUGGGCGUAAAGGGCGCGUAGGCGGACAGUUUAGUCAGAGGUGAACGCCCAGGGCUCAACCUUGGAAUUGCCUUUGAUACUGGCUGUCUUGAGUACGGGAGAGGUGAGUGGAACUCCGAGUGUAGAGGUGAAAUUCGUAGAUAUUCGGAAGAACACCAGUGGCGAAGGCGACUCACUGGCCCGUUACUGACGCUGAGGCGCGAAAGCGUGGGGAGCAAACAGGAUUAGAAACCCCGGUAGUCC
RNAcentral lists this ribosomal RNA (425 nucleotides) under uncultured bacterium. Its description in RNAcentral is "partial 16S ribosomal RNA". It matches the Rfam family "Bacterial small subunit ribosomal RNA", at positions 354 to 796 of the family's 1533-position model. The record is from RNAcentral.